CUCGACAUGUUCUCCAUUUAGGAGAUCUCUUGGGAAUUUGCAACUAUGGUUAGUGAGGUCAUCAUAAGUAGAAUCGUUCACGGGGAGGUCUUCACUUGUUUUCUAUCCUUCCUGAAUCAUGACAUCUUCAGUGACUCUUAUCAAUGCGCCAUAAUGUACCACCUACUCUUUUAAAUCUAUCACCCACCUCUACUCGCUUCUUGAUUCUUUGCACCCCAUUAUAUAAAUUUGAAAGUCCGAAACAAAAGAAAGGAAAUAGAAAGGGCCAAAGGAACGAUAAGUGGAAGAGAGUGAUAGCAUUGGAGUUUCGAUUGUUUCUUCACAUUUUCACUUUCUAGAUUUCUAUGUCCAUAAGCAUGGGAGGCAUCAAGGAAAAAGCAAUGCAGCACACCAAUGUGAAUAUGUAAGCAAUCGUCCAUGUUAUCCUUUUCUUACAAAAACUUAGAUGCUUGAUAUUCUUAAGCUAAGACAUAAACUUAGAACUACAUGCGUAGUUGAGCAUUCUACGCCACUUUAUAUAUACUAGUAACAAUGCACGUGCAACGCACGUAUCCGUCAUCAAAUAUAAAUAUGAGUAUGCUUAAAGUAUCCAAAAUUUAAAAUCCUUGUCCUAGUAUAAUUUAUAAUAUUUUUUCAUAAAUGGGAACCUAUAUACAAGUCUUCUAGAAUGAUCUUUCGGAGAUAAAUUAUAAUUGAAUAUAGGAAUCUUAACAUUCCUUUUAAAAAUCGAUAAAUGCAUUCAGGAAACCAAAUGCUAGGUGUAUGCAAAAUGCACUUCACAGACUUUUACACACGUCAAACCCUAUGCCGAGUACAGAUCUGCCUUUGCAAGGUGCUAAACAUAGAAUGUUUUUCUUUAGAAUAUUGGCCCAAAAAAAAACUACAACAUCACAAACUGCAGGCUCAUAGAGAAAGAUCGGUUUGAUAUACUGAAGAGGCAUUUAAUAUUAAUAUGAAAAAAAUGAGGUUACAUCUGCUUUUAACAUGGUAUACAUAUACAAUCCCCCAAAUACAAAUAGGACUAUUCAAACAAGACUUCAAAUCAUAAUCUGAAAAUGAGGAAGGGCACCUAACUUUGGUGACAAACAGAGCAUAUGGCCAAUCUGACCUGAAUAAUCACAUGCACCUGUGCAAAUGCACGUACAAACGUUGAUUAUACUAUAAUCAAGCUGGUACUAUGUAGAAAUAACCAUGUCAAAAAUUAUUGCAGGCGAUCAAAUACUAUAAAUCAACUACAUAGGUUUAGAUUUUCACUCAAAAAACAGGGCAAUGAAGCCAGAAAACACUGACACUGGAUGUCUCCAAGCAGUUCAAAGCAAAAUCCUGCCACGCAAUGACCUACUAUGCGUGUCGCUGCUGUCCGUGGCGUCUUUGUCUUCCAUGCAUGAUAGAAUCAACUUAUGGGGCAUGAAGAUGACAAUAACUGCACGAGGAUGGCCCCAAGCUAAGCUACGCUCGCUUGAAUUGGAGUUUGGCAAAGAGCAUUGUUGUAUCAUCACUUAUGUCAGAAUUAGAAUAUAUGAUAACCAUCUUGCAAACAGAAUAUUCACUUUAUCAGUUUUCGUAAGAAAAAUAGAAAAUCACAAUCCAUCAGUGUGUUAUUCCAUCUAUCAACACAAGGCC
Molecule: long non-coding RNA, 1623 nt
Filed under: Hordeum vulgare
Lineage: Eukaryota; Viridiplantae; Streptophyta; Magnoliopsida; Poales; Poaceae
Description: long non-coding RNA (HVUL_LNC008528)
Source: RNAcentral